Felis catus (domestic cat) is the source of this 10105-nucleotide long non-coding RNA. RefSeq lists it as uncharacterized. Lineage: Eukaryota; Metazoa; Chordata; Mammalia; Carnivora; Felidae. The record is from RefSeq and is a predicted model, not a curated record. The transcript is spliced from 24 exons.
CACUUUUCUCUCAUCAGGACUGCUUUCAGAGGGGAGGAAGCUUGUCUGGGGCUCGGGAGGGGCACCGCAGACCGGAGGUUUGCACCCCGACCCCCUCUGCGGUGUUGAAUCUUCACCCCCCCAGAGAAGCCAGGCCCAGCGACUGCUUUCUCUCCCGGGUGUGGACGAGAAGGAAGAUGCCUGCGAGGACGCCGUUUCUGCACCGGGGAGCGGCCUUCACCGGGACCCCCACACUGGGCCUUAGCCCUGAGUCUCUAGCUGCCACGAGUGUCUGAGAGUGUUGCUGUGUACGGAUCUGCCUGCUGGACUGGCCGGAGCUCUCCUCCGUUCUCCCUGGGCUACCCUGCUGACUGGGCUGUUCCAAAUGGAAUCUGCCCCAAACCAGAUCUACUGUUCCUGUGUCGCAGACCUUCCGUUCUUAGGAAAUGGCAAAAACCCGUCUGCCGUUGCUCAGAGACCUAGGUUUUCAGAUAAUCCUAAAAAUGUCGGGAUGGAAGUCGUGUGCUUGGCUUCUCUGAGGGAGCAGGGAUGUGAGCAGUAAACUGCAGGCAGCAGUAACCGACCCUCCAAGAUAGUGCUCAUGUUGCACUUUGACUCUCAGAAAUGCUGAAUGCCUCCGAGGGACGAAAACCUAACACAUGGGCACACAGCAGAAGGCGGAGGAUCUCGGCAUUAACCCAGAGCAGGAUGGGUCUUGACAAUGAACCCCUCCCGGUGCCGGGAUAUGAAAAUGGACUUAUCUCCACUGAUCAAGGGAAGUAUCCGUCCAAACUACAGUGAGCUCCAUCACCUCAUGCCGUUAAGAAAAUACAAGAUCACAAAUGUUGGUGAGGAGAUAGAGAAAAAGGGACACUCAUGCACUGUUGGGGGGGGCGUGUAAAUUGGUGCAGCCACUGUGAAGAACAGUAUAGAGGUUCCUCAAAAAGUCAGAACUACCAGGUGAUCUAGCCCACCACUUCUGGGUAUUUACUCAGGUGAAAUGAAAUCGGGAUUUUGGAAUUCACCCUCAAGUUCAAAUGAACUAUUCCUAAUAGCUUAAAUCAGGAAACCACUUCAGUGCCUGUUGACAGAUGGAUACAGAAAUUGUGGUAGAGUGAAAAGCUCAGCUGUGAAAAAGGAGACCCUGUCACUUGCAGCACCGUGGAUGAAUGUGGAGGACAUGCUAAGUGGAAUAAGCCGGACCCAGAAGAAAAACCUCUCCCAUGGAAUCUAAAAAGUUGAACAUGUAGAAGCCGACAGUAGGUGGUGGGGAAAUGGGCGCAAGGUGGCAGCUCUGUGGAAUGACGGAGUCCUGGGAGCUCCUAAACUGCACAAGGAUGGCGGUUGGCAAUUCUGUACUGAAUACUGGCUGUGCGAAGAGUAGGUUUUAGGUGUGCCCAUCACGGUGGUAACUAUGUGAGGAGAGGUGUUCAUCAGCUUGACAGUCGUGAUCAUGUCAAUCUACGUAUCGGGUCACCACACUGUACACCUUAAAUAUAUUUGUAUUAAAAUAAGCAGUUGACCUACCCCUUCAAUGAAAACUCCAGAAGGGCAUGACAGUCAUGAACUUCAUCUUCCCUCAUUGAUAUAAGUGAAUCCCAAGGCCCUGGGGGAGGAGGAAAAAUGAGCUGUAGAAAAUUUCAUGCAGUGUAUACUUACAGAAAACUACAUACACAUGUAUAUAUAAGCACAUACGCAUGAACUCGUGUGUGUAUCUGAAUGUCAUGCAUAAAUGUAUGUAGAUAUACAGAAAACUUAAAAAAAAAAAAAAAAAAAAAACCUUAACCUAUUAAUAGGAAUGCAUACAUAGGUAGUAAAACUCUAAGGGAAAACACAGGAAUCAUUUGACCCAAAAUUCAUAAUGGUGCACCUUGACUCUGAGGAAGGUCAUGAUAGAAAUGAGUUAACAAGGAGUUUCAGAGGUGUGCUUUUAAAAAUUUUUUAAAUAUUUUUGAGAGACAGUGUGUGUGGGGCAGGGGCAGAGAGAAAGACACAGAAUCUGAAGAGGCUCCGGGGUCUGAGCUGCCAGCACAGAGUCUGACACAGGGCUUAAACUCUCAAACUGUGAGAUCAUGUCCUGAGCCAAAGUCAGACACUUAACCAACUGAGCCACCCAGGUGUCCCUCAGAGGUGUACUUCUAAUUCUAUUCCUUAAACAGCAUGGUGGGGGGAAAAGGUGUUUGCUGUACCUUCUACGUAUGAAAUCAAGAAUCAAUUUGACAUGUGUAUCCAGUGAUGCUGUUUCAUCAAGACCAACUUUUUUCCUGUGUCCUACACGCUUGCCAAGAAUAAUUCUAACAUAAAGGGAGAGUGGAGGAGGAGCAGAGAGAGCGGGGGAGACAGAAUCCGAAGCAGGCUCCGAGCGGUCAGCACAGAGCCCUUUGCGGGACUUGAACUCGUGAACUGCGAGAUCAUGACUGAAUCUGGAGUUGGACACUUCAACUGACUGAGCCACCCCGGUGCCUGUAAAACUUUGGUGUGUCUUAAAUUGAUUUUGGGGUUUAAUUAUCACUGUUGUCUUAACUUCCUGCUAACUUAAAGCCUUUUGCUUUUUAAACCCUAAGGACCUAGGCACAUCAAUUUUUUUUAAAUGGCUAAAAAAAAAAAAAACCUAAAGACAUAUAUGACCUAAAUUACAGUGGUUUAUGGAACAUCAAAAACCUUCUGUGUUUCAAAACAUAGAAAAUUCUAUCUUAAAAGAUAAAAUGAGUCUAAUAAAAAUCAAGAAAUAGAUGAAUGGUCAUGAACGAGCCUUCGGGAGAUUUGCCAUAACAAGUAUUGCCCAACAUUUAAGUGUCAUCAAAGAUGACAAAAGUAAGACCUAGAGAAGCCUCCAGAACAAGCCAGGAACAGUGGAGCCCGGAGCUGAAGCUGGUCUCAUUCCACAAGAUGCCUGCUGAGUAGUGACCCUUUCCUGACGAUAAUCAGAGGUUGCUUGCAGCUCCAAGUGUCUUCUCAAAUAACCAUGAUGCUUGUAUCUUAUUUGGGAGAUUCUUUCAGAUGAAGGAAGGACCCGUAGUAAUCCAAAAUAGAGGUCAUCUUGUAUUGUUCUUCACACAUUUCCAAUGACUAAUUCUCAUUGGACCAAUGACCAAUUCUGACAACAGCACCUUAGGACACGGGUGAGGGAUGAAAGAUGAACUUCUUGGACUAUUGGCCUGCUCUUAAGAUUGUGAAUGUUUCCUUGUUAAAAACAAGAUGGCAGACCCAAAGUGAAGUACCUUAUGCUGAACUCCAUGUCACCAAAUCAAGACUAAAGUUGUACCUUUUCCAGAAAUGGAAUCUUAAACCUCUCAACCAGCCAUGCUGGUAUCAGAAGAGGACACCAAAGGAGUCUCCCCAUGGCCCCUAGGAGUGGCAAGCAGCCAGGCAAAGGUACCCAUUGAGCCCCUUGAGCUAAGUGCUUUCUCACCACCUCUGGAGGUCACGGGGUGGAUCCACUGUGAAGCCUGAGGUGAAUGAAAUUUUGCUUUAAGGUGAACAAGCAGGUCAACGUUAUGAAAGAUCUUGAUUUAGAGUGGCCACGGAGGAGAAUGUUCAGCCUGGAUAAGCUUACUCCCUAUUUGAGGAUGAGACCCACUUGGACAUACCACUCACUCCUGAUGGCAUUGUGGGGAAAAAUGGCAGAAGCCAGCAAAAAGUGACCAUUGUUACUCAAGCCAGCUCUCCUGGAUCUCUGUGGUGGUGCUGCCGGGCCACCAGAGGAAGGAGGAAAGAUAAGACAGCUGGCUUUUAAUGUGACACUUUCGUGACCAACCUAAACCUAAUUGUGAACGAGUAAAUUACAUAGCUGAAAGGUGGAAAUUCACAAGCAAACUUUGAAGUUAAACUUUGUGAGGAGCAAAGUCUAUCUGGGUGUGUAAGCCCCGAGAGUUGUGCACACUCCGUUCUUGUAACGUGAGUGCCUGCCUUCAGACACGGAAAUGAUGGUGCUCUCCAGUCACCACGCUGCAGCCACAUGACUCAAUGAGCCAGGCUCCCCGCCACAGCGAGGCUUCUCUAUUUGGAGAUCUUGGUUGAUGGAGACUCCUGGAAAGGACCCUGACAAGGACAGGUUUCUGAAAACUCUCAGAUCAUACCACUGAGUGGAUAAGGGAUUGCAGAACCCCAGUGGAGAAACUGAGGGCUUUGUACAAUUGCCAACAAAAGACUAUAGAAACCAUUUUUCUCUCAAGCUGUCAACAGUUGGGUGAAGUCUACCUAUGUGAACAAAGACAGAACAUUUAUCUUUUUCUUUCCUGAUCUCUCCAGAACGCAGAAGCUUAGUAUUUUCACGGUGAUACAGCUAUUUGCAAAAGUACAAUAAGAGUAUGUCCUCUAACAGGACACAAAUGGAAACAUCGGUUAUGUGGGCAAGACUUUGACCAGGAUGUCCGGUUUGAGAAAGCAUACAUACUCCAGUGACCCAACAGUUUUAAGGAACUAAGUUGAAUUUUGGAGCCAAUAAUACCCCUUGGAAAAAUCAGCCUGGUACAUUGCUUACAGGGUUCCCAGCAGCGUGACAAAGUAAAUAAGGAAGGUCAUGUCCAGGCAGGCUCAGGAAACUCUGGAUAUUUGGGGUACUUUGAAGAAAACCCAAGUCUAUAGCUGUUGCAGGCAAAGUCUGAUGGUGAGUCUCCUUGGAUCGGCUCCCUCCCCUUGAGACUUAAAAAUUCCAAUCUGACAUUCCUUAAAAAUCCAGCAAAGCAGAUUUAAGAGCAGCUAUAUAUGGUCAACCACUCUCUUUGCUGCAUUUAUACACAUGAUUAGGCCAUGUUUGGCUGUUCAGCAAUCCUGUUAAUUUGAUUAUCUUUGAAUAGCAUAAGUGUAAUUGUAGAAAAAUUAUUUAAUGACCUUAAGGCUUUUAAUAGUCUCUCGAGGGUACCGUUUUCUUCCUAUACAAGUUUCUCUAAUAAUUUGUAUCUAACUCUCCCCAGACUUAUAAUUUACUCCUAUGUCUUAGAGUCGCUGAGAAUAAAGAAUGCCUUUUUUCUGAAGGGGAAGACUUGAUAUGAACUUGAGCAAAACCACAUGCUUUGGCAAAAGUGAGAAUUAUGGGAAAGACCCCACCAAGAAGAACUCUUGACCACUGACAUUGCUGCCAAAAUACAAAAUAGCAAGCCUUGGAUGCGUAUUUCACAACUGGUGAAGUCUCCAUUUGACAGGCCCUGGGACUUCAGGAUGUUGGGGGGACCUUGAGAAGACAGGAAUUCACUUAAAUCUGUAUAUAUGAUGGGUGAAAUCUGAUGGUAAGUCCUUGGAUUUUUAAAAGGCUCUCAAGGAUGGGAAGCCAAGCCAAUCUGACCUCUCUUGUGAAAAGUUCCAGCAAAGGGGCGCCUGGGUGGCUUAGUCGGUUGAGCGUCCGACUUUCGGCUCAGGUCAUGAUCUCGCAGUUCGUGGGUUCGAACCCUGCGUUGGGCUCUGUGCUGACAGCUCGGGGCCUGGAGCCUGCUUCCGAUUCUGUGUCUCCCUCUCCCUCUGCCCCUCCCUGACUUGUGCUCUCUCAAAAAUAAAUGUAAAAAAAAUCUCGAGCAAAGCAGAGCUAGAAAAGCCUGUUUGGACAUUCAGUAUUCAUGCUGCACUUUGAGGCCAAAUUUACUGAGACUUUGUAAAGAAAUCAGUCUGGGUAACUGGAGGGGGAUGGUGUUUCUGUAAUACUCUUUCUGGAUAUUAGAUUCUAGUACUGUUGUGAGGUUUUGUUUUCUUACCACAAAGUAACUGGAUCCUGAAUUCCCCUAGUUUCUUCAAUAUUUGGUUCUACUUCCCCUCAAACUACCAUUUCUAUCUUCCCCAACCUUCCUCACUUGGAAUCACAAAAUACAACUGCCCUUUACCUGAAGCCCAGCAAGUCUAUAGCUAGACAACUUGAUACAAACUUGGGAGAACCCGUCCAAACUGCUCCUGUACAGAUGAUUUUUGUGGCUGCUCUGGUCAUUGGAGACCUUCAAACUACAAAGAGCAUUGUCCUUCCAUACCUGCCCCCACUCCACCUGAAGAUGGUUCAAGCCUGACCUCUAAAAUGGAUUGACUGCCUUAAAUGGGAUGCUGGAAUGGUAUGGGAUGUAUGGUUCUGAGCACGAAUCAUCGUUUUGUUUUGCUUGUGUGAUACAGGCCUACUUUGGGGAGCCCGCCUAAAUCACCACCUCUUGAGAGGAGUUGAACUGACCUCUUGUCAGGACUAAUUCAAUGAGAUGAAGCAGUCUGCCACCUCAGCUUCUGGACUAGGACUCUUCUUGGAGAAGUUUCAGUGGUGGGGCUGGGGGGGAGCUGACCACGCCACCCCAAGUGGUUCCACCAUUGACGUGUGGGUUGGUAACACCCAGUAGACUUGGGAAAAGCUAGUUACCUCUCCAUUAAUUGCCUAAAAGAAUUCAGUUAGGGGACCUUGUUCCCGGAAAUGGCUUGUUAUGUCAGGAAGACCUGUGUGUAUGACUGGACACAAAGGAUUCGCAGAUCUGUUUCUUUCCUUGAGCGUGGGUUUCCUCCUGUUGGAAGCCUCGGAACUCUUCCCCUUGGGAUAGCACAUAAGUCUGUUUCCUGGAUGCUGGGAGCCUGUUUUUGAGGCUCCUGUAUGUAUGAAAUUGGCUAUUUGAUCUCAUGCCAAUUUAAUUAGACUGGCAAAAGAAGCCGGGGGAGGGGAGAAGGGAAAACUUUCUGGCCCCUAUAUCUCCCCAAAUCGACAUGUUGAAAUCCUUCCCUCCACCCUCCAGUAAUGGUAUAGGAGCGAGGGGCUUUGGGUAAGUGAUUAUAUCAGGAAGCUGGGCCCCCAUACUGGGAUUAGAUAUGAGAGAGCCCAGAGUGUCCCCUUGCCACAUAGGAGGACACCAUGAGGAGUCCACCUAUGAACCAGGAAGGGGGCUCUCAGACACCAUAUUGGUGCCUGAUCUUGGACUUCCAGCCUCAGAAUGGAGAAAUUUCUAUCCAUAAGCCUGUGGUAUUUUGUUACAGCAACCAUGUUAACAUUUUUUAGUCUAGAUGGUGUUGGUUGAAAUAAUAGUACUUACAAAAGUGAGAUUUUGUAAAAUACUUCACAUUAUUUCAACCAUUUCAGCUCCUUUACCCAGAAUCCUAUUUGUUCUUGAUCAAAAAGGAUCUUAGAGGCUUAUCAAAAUUCUGUUUAUGUUGAAUAAAUAGUACACAGACUUGCUUUUACUCUUAUGUCCUUGAUUUUUCAAAAACAAAAACCUGAGACCAGGAAACAGGUGGUGCUCCUGUUCAUGGCUUAAAUAAGUACAGAAUGAACUCUCGAAGUGAUUGUCUAAGGAAAAGUGUUGGAAGGUACAACCAUCUUAGAUGACAGGAAGGAGAAACCAGGGCAGUGAAGACUGCUUAAAAGCCUAUAUGGAUGAUUGGAGACACACACACACACCACAGUGGAAUAUUAUGCAAAUAAUAAGAGGAGAGCCUGACACUUGAAUGACAUGGAUGGACCUAAAUGGUAUUAUGGCCGAGUUCCAGUGUCCUCCCUGGUACAUGUGGAUCCACACGUCCCUUUGAGCACAUGUGAAAGCAGGCGGGCACUUGAGCGCUAAUGAUGGGUGAAGUGAUUGAUAACAGCCCAGUUGAAGACAGAAGGGGCAUCAGGUUUUGUUUCCAGCCAACCUUUCAUCUUUUUUGCCAAAGCAAAUGUUCUGUGGAUCCUGUCCAACGACAUAAAAUACAGUGCUCGUGGGAGUAUGCAGAGGCUUUGUGAGGAAAUACAAUUAAGUUAUGUCCAAGAGCCCAGCAGCCUGAGAUGGCUCGAAGGCCGUGGCCAACUCUCUGCACAAACCCGAACCCCAGCCCUGUGAUCCCUCAAGGUAACUGGACGGAGACCCCCCAAGGACAAACAAUCACAGGGUCCCAAGCUGCUCUUGGAGAUAAGAAAAGAUGAGCAUUUCAGGUCAGUCAGAAGUAAAGAAAACUACAAAACUUGCAGAAAUAAAAAGACAUGGAAAACUUCUCAACCGCUAUUAAUGUGCUGGUUGGAUUCUCUUCAGUUUCUUUGGCUUUUCUGACUUAUAAUUACACACAACCAUGUCUGAAGGGGCCAGCCUGAGCCAGGCUUGAGACUGAAGACACGGUUCGGGGAAGAGGCGGCCGUGGGGAACAUCCUGAGGUGGCCGUCCAGACCUGGCGGCUUCUGUGUUGGAUGCUUGUGGAUCACCCUGAGAGCACGGGGGCCCCUCUGGUGCCAGCCGAUGGAACGUGCUUGAGAAGCGGCACGGCGGGCAGGCCCUGCGGUGGGUGUUGGCCAGGCCGCCGAUGCCCAGCUGGACACCAAGGCUCUGAACAGAAGGUCUGGAGAAGAGCUGAGAAGGGGACGCUUCUAACAUAAAGACCCUGGACCUCUGACGGUAGAGUGACAGCCCCAACGGCUGCGAGGGAACUUGGCGGUCUGGAAGCUGUAUGUCUCGCGUUUGAAGUGUAAGCAGCCAGGAGCAAAUUAAAGCCUCGCCCAGGGUGGCCAGAGGCCUGAAGGGCAGAGAGGCUUCGGAGAACACAGACGGUGGCAGCAGCUCGGCCUCCCGAUGCUCGGGGAGGCCAAGCAAGGACCCGAGGCGCCCUCCGCAGAAGACCGCAAGCGCUCCCUUGCACCAGGUGCGCCGUUUGGAGCCGACUGUCCUAAAGGGAUGAGUCGCUUGUGUCGUCGCAACUGAUUCGUGGCUGAAAGUUUGUGACGAAAGCUCUGAGGUCCGUGUGCUCGUGAACACCUGUGGAGACGCCACACAUCCGAUCUUCUGCCUCCGGGUGCCAAAACCAGGCUUUGCUGGAACUUCUGUGAGAGAGAGGAUAGGUGGUGAACGUGGAAAAUCGAAGUUUGUAGAGUGCCAUAUAUGGGUGCCUUCACUGAAUUGGGGGCUUCACAUUUCAAAGAUCAUCAUGUACAAGGUUGGGCAAAAACCAGGACAUUUGAAUGAAAGUACUGUCUCCCCUACAACCCGCAAGCAGGGUUAAUGGAAAGGAAAAACGGAACACUACAGAUUGAAUUACCAAUACACAAAACCACUUUUACUGAGUGGAUUAGCAAAGCACCUCAGGCCUUAGUGCAUUUGCACAACCAGCAUCAGGGCUGUUGCCCCACAGGCCAGACUGGGCCCCCUUCUGGGCAUCCGAUACCAUAAACUUCGGGAAGUCCUAAGAAACCAUGGCUAUGCUGCUGGGAGCGGUGAGCCGCCUCACACCUGGGAAGGAUCUCCUCUACUGGAAUUUGUACUGGCAAGUCUUCCUGGGAGGGGAUCGUUUGGCCACCAUAUUCCCCCGCUGGCCUGGAGGACAUUAGAGCACUCGUGGAAGCCUUUACGAAAUCCACCAGCAAACCCGGAAUGAGAGUCCACACAGCCUGUCACUUCCGAGCACUGAAAUGUCUAUAAGAGAAGAGCUGUUCUCCAAAAUAGGUCGGGUUUGGACAUUAUCACUGCCUCCCCAAGAGGCACCUGUGCUAUUCAAAUAGGAUGUGGUGUGUGCGUACCUGAUGGGUGUAAUGUAUCUUCCUUCCUUCCUCACCUGAGGACACAGAAGAAUCCCCCGAGUCCUCUGAUCCCCAGCUCAAGGGACUUAAUAAACCCCUGAUUUGGGUCAUGGGGACUCUUGGUGGGAAGGGAAGUAUUUGGGGAAUCACGAUCUCGAUCUGUAUUUUCUCUCACACAUUGUGUUGUUGCUGUGCCUCUGCUGCGGCCACAGAGCCACCAGAUGAGCAUCUCCCAGCUAGUAAGAGCUUCUGACAGCUCAGGGCCAUCCUUGUAGAUGAGGAGGGGCGGGCAUCUGAGAUUGCAGGAGCUGGUCACGAGGGGUGGACUGUUGGAGGUCGUCGUUGACAGGACACGACUGCCCACUAUUCCCAUGGCCGGUGCUGUUCCAAGGAUGCAAUUUUGAGAGAGCAACGUGCUGUUGAGGUCACGCAGUUGGUAUAGGGGACAAGACCCCAUCAAGGCCUCUGUAAUCGUCUGUUAUGUGGAGACUGUGAUGUCUCCCUCUUGCUGCCCAGGACACCAUCGUAUGCAAGUUCCCUGGCUUACUAAACCUGCCACCUACCUCUGAGUGGGCCUGCCUCUUACAUCUCUCCCAGCCUCCUCCUGUGGGGCCCGGUUUGCAAACCAGCAUCAGACCUUGUGCUUCAGCCCAGGGCCCAUCUGUGUGUCUAGUACAGCAGCUCAGGGUCCACACC